GUACUCGCUUCGGCAGCUCAUAUACUAAAACUGGAAUGAUACAGAGAAGAUUAGCAUGGCUCCUGUGCAAGGAUGACACGCAAAUUCGUGAAGUGUUCCAAAUACUA
This 107-nucleotide small nuclear RNA is filed under the name Jaculus jaculus (lesser Egyptian jerboa). The record is from RNAcentral. Lineage: Eukaryota; Metazoa; Chordata; Mammalia; Rodentia; Dipodidae.